RNAcentral lists this ribosomal RNA (253 nucleotides) under uncultured bacterium. RNAcentral's name for it is "partial 16S ribosomal RNA". It matches the Rfam family "Bacterial small subunit ribosomal RNA", at positions 524 to 776 of the family's 1533-position model. The record is from RNAcentral.
UACGAGAGCCUCGAGCGUUAUCCGGAAUUAUUGGGCGUAAAGGGUGCGUAGGUUGUUCUGUUAGUCUUUUGUUAAAUCCCCGAGCUUAACUUGGGAAUCGCGAAGGAAACGGCAGAACUUGAAAGUGCGAGAGGCGUACGGAACUCAUGGUGUAGGGGUGAAAUCCGUUGAUAUCAUGGGGAACACCAAAUGCGAAAGCAGUACGCUGGCGCAUAUUUGACACUGAAGCACAAAAGCGUGGGUCGCGAAUGGG